UUUUAUUAUGAGAGUUUGAUCCUGGCUCAGGACGAACGCUGGCGGCGUGCCUAAUACAUGCAAGUCGAACGCUUCUUUUCUACCGA
RNAcentral lists this ribosomal RNA (86 nucleotides) under Enterococcus termitis. RNAcentral's name for it is "partial 16S ribosomal RNA". It matches the Rfam family "Bacterial small subunit ribosomal RNA", at positions 1 to 83 of the family's 1533-position model. Lineage: Bacteria; Bacillati; Bacillota; Bacilli; Lactobacillales; Enterococcaceae. The record is from RNAcentral.